Molecule: ribosomal RNA, 552 nt
Filed under: uncultured archaeon
Lineage: Archaea
Description: bacterial SSU rRNA
Rfam family: Archaeal small subunit ribosomal RNA
Source: RNAcentral
UGGGAUACCUAAAGUUCCCAUAGCAAACUGCUCAGUAACACAUGAUCAACUUACCCUAUAGAGAAAAACAACCUCGGGAAACUGAGGAUAAUGUUUCAUAAUUGAAUUGGCUUGGAAAAGUUUUUCAAUGAAAGGGAUAAAAAAAAUGGUUUUUAUCUGCUAUAGGAUAGGAUCGUGUUCGAUUAUGGUUGUUGGUGAGAUAAUGGCUCACCAAGCCGAUAAUCGAUAGGGGCCGUGAGAGCGGGAGCCCCGAGAUGGGUACUGAAACAACGACCCAGGCCUUACAAGGCGCAGCAGGCGCGGAACCUCCGCANUACACGAAAGUGUGACGGGGUUACCCAAAGUGUUCAAUAAAACUGUGGUAGGUGAGUAAUGUCCCCUACUAGAAAGGAGAGGGCAAGGCUGGUGCCAGCCGCCGCGGUAAAACCAGCUCUUCAAGUGGUCGGGAUAAUUAUUGGGCUUAAAGUGUCCGUAGCCGGUUUAGUAAGUUCCUGGUAAAAUCGGGUAGCUUAACUAUUCUGCAUGCUAGGAAUACUGCUAUACUAAAGGGCG